UAACACAUGCAAGUCGAGCGGAUGACGGGAGCUUGCUCCUUGAUUCAGCGGCGGACGGGUGAGUAAUGCCUAGGAAUCUGCCUGGUAGUGGGGGACAACGUUUCGAAAGGAACGCUAAUACCGCAUACGUCCUACGGGAGAAAGCAGGGGACCUUCGGGCCUUGCGCUAUCAGAUGAGCCUAGGUCGGAUUAGCUAGUUGGUGGGGUAAUGGCUCACCAAGGCGACGAUCCGUAACUGGUCUGAGAGGAUGAUCAGUCACACUGGAACUGAGACACGGUCCAGACUCCUACGGGAGGCAGCAGUGGGGAAUAUUGGACAAUGGGCGAAAGCCUGAUCCAGCCAUGCCGCGUGUGUGAAGAAGGUCUUCGGAUUGUAAAGCACUUUAAGUUGGGAGGAAGGGCAGUAAGUUAAUACCUUGCUGUUUUGACGUUACCGACAGAAUAAGCACCGGCUAACUCUGUGCCAGCAGCCGCGGUAAUACAGAGGGUGCAAGCGUUAAUCGGAAUUACUGGGCGUAAAGCGCGCGUAGGUGGUUUGUUAAGUUGGAUGUGAAAGCCCCGGGCUCAACCUGGGAACUGCAUCCAAAACUGGCAAGCUAGAGUACGGUAGAGGGUGGUGGAAUUUCCUGUGUAGCGGUGAAAUGCGUAGA
Molecule: ribosomal RNA, 650 nt
Filed under: Pseudomonas sp. MB1
Lineage: Bacteria; Pseudomonadati; Pseudomonadota
Description: bacterial SSU rRNA
Rfam family: Bacterial small subunit ribosomal RNA
Source: RNAcentral